Molecule: ribosomal RNA, 832 nt
Filed under: uncultured bacterium
Lineage: Bacteria
Description: bacterial SSU rRNA
Rfam family: Bacterial small subunit ribosomal RNA
Source: RNAcentral
AAUCAACGCUGGCGGCGUGCCUAACACAUGCAAGUCGAACGAGAAAGUGGAGCAAUCCAUGAGUAAAGUGGCGCACGGGUGAGUAACACGUGGGAACAUACCCUUCGGUUCGGAAUAACUCAGGGAAACUUGUGCUAAUACCGGAUACGUCCGCAAGGAGAAAGAUUUAUCGCCGAAGGAUUGGCCCGCGUCUGAUUAGCUUGUUGGUGAGGUAAUGGCUCACCAAGGCGACGAUCAGUAGCUGGUCUGAGAGGAUGAUCAGCCACAUUGGGACUGAGACACGGCCCAAACUCCUACGGGAGGCAGCAGUGGGGAAUAUUGGACAAUGGGCGAAAGCCUGAUCCAGCCAUGCCGCGUGAGUGAUGAAGGCCUUAGGGUUGUAAAGCUCUUUUACCUGGGAAGAUAAUGACGGUACCAGGAGAAUAAGCCCCGGCUAACUUCGUGCCAGCAGCCGCGGUAAUACGAAGGGGGCUAGCGUUGUUCGGAUUUACUGGGCGUAAAGCGCACGUAGGCGGAUCUUUAAGUCAGGGGUGAAAUCCCGAGGCUCAACCUCGGAACUGCCUUUGAUACUGGGGAUCUCGAGUCCGGGAGAGGUGAGUGGAACUGCGAGUGUAGAGGUGAAAUUCGUAGAUAUUCGCAAGAACACCAGUGGCGAAGGCGGCUCACUGGCCCGGUACUGACGCUGAGGUGCGAAAGCGUGGGGAGCAAACAGGAUUAGAUACCCUGGUAGUCCACGCCGUAAACGAUGGAUGCUAGCCGUUAGACAGCUUGCUGUUUAGUGGCGCAGUUAACGCUUUAAGCAUCCCGCCUGGGGAGUACGGUCGCAAGAUUA